This is a long non-coding RNA of Passer domesticus (house sparrow), 496 nucleotides long. RefSeq lists it as uncharacterized. The record is from RefSeq and is a predicted model, not a curated record. The transcript has 3 exons. NCBI's taxonomy places the organism in Eukaryota, Metazoa, Chordata, Aves, Passeriformes, Passeridae.
GGGAGAUGGAGUUUGUUGCUUGUGCUGAGAAGGUGGAGUCAGUGCUGUGAGGAGCUGCUCAUGAGAAACCACUGAGAAGCCACUCAACCUUUGGGAGGUGGAAACUCGUGAUUUCCUACAGCUAUUUCUCUGAAUAAAGCCACUCCACUUUCAACUGUUUCGUGCUUGUUUUGCAGGAGUAUGCAGGUUUUGCACAGCUUUAGAUGACAAUAGCAGAGAAUUUUGAAAAAGAGUUAUACUGAGUUGAACUCUACAGAGAUUUGCUACUUCCCUGGCAGUAAUACUGAAAUAUUGAAAAGCUGGAGUUAAUGGGAAAGACUGUGGGAUGAAGAAGGCAACUAAAGAUGCAAACAUUCAACAGUUUUGGGGAGCCUGAGCUUUAAUAAGCUCAUCCUGCUAGCUUUUAGUAUCACUGAAAAGGGAAGGACUUCUGCCUCUGUUUCUAUGUAAGAGCUUGAUGUACCAUACCUCUGAAAUGUCUCUUCCUUACAAAAUA